AAUCAUCGCCUUGGAAGCUUCAUCACGAUACUACUUUGCAUUUCUGAAGAGGGAAGAAGAAAUCAAUAUGCAAAUUCAAUUCCAUGGUUUUGGAAGUCCCAUUGAGAACACGAUUCAUUUGCGCCAGCACAAUGCUCUGACCGAGAAAGAAUUGAAGUUUCCACUUGGAAGAAAGAUUCACAUCAAAUUGACUGGUCAAGGAAAUGGGACACUGACUAACCAUACGAUUAGACUGUUUUGAUGAGGAAUUUAAAGAUUAUGUGUCCCAUCCGUUUGACUCACCGUUUGGUACCAUAGGUUGGUACGAUCUUCGUUCGAGAAGAAAAAGGGAUGUUCCAGACACAGAAAAUCGUCAAACCAUUUACUACAAAGUCCGUUUCUGGGUGGAGUUAGUGGAACCGAAAAAGAUGUCUCCCUCACAGCGUUUGUGACAAAAGAAUUGCAUCGUUCCUUGGCGGCCUUUCAACAGAAGAAUAUUCAGAGAUUUCCCGAGUGAUGAGGGCGUCACCGGUCAGGCAGCAUUUAUUGCCCAUCCCUUAUUGCCCGGAGGGCAGUUAAGAGUCAACCACAUUGCUGUGGGUCUGGAGUCACAUGUAGGGCAGACCAGUGAAAGGCUGCCACACUAAAUUGAAGAAAAAUUGAUAAUCAAGUCAGAUUUCAUUCUCGGAUGUGGCCUGGCUUGUAACAACAGCAGCUGGAAUCAUAGCACCAGCAAAAGAAGAAUAAAUGAAAAAACUUUGUUGGGAGCAGACUGUAUAGUUUUCGACAUUGUAGAAGAGAAAGAGGACUAACAGAGGUGCUUCUGAUCCGGAAGGGAAACAACCAAUGAUUCUGUUGUGCACAUUAUUUGCCCAAAGACAAGCAUUGAAUACAAGUUAAUUGUGCCCUUGGACACAGCACUGUUUUAGUAGGAUAUGAAAUUUCACUUUAGAAUCCAUUUUCACUCGCAAAUAUUGAUGGGGAGCACUAUUUAAUAAAGUGAAUUUCUUCAACAUCUUCAGAGCUGCAUGUUUAUCAUUCGUAUACAUGGGAAAUCUCAAAUUCAUUUUGCAGUUACAUGAAAAUAAUGUACAAGGAAAGGAAUUUAAACUCAGUAUUUUGCACUUCAAUUGAGCACAGGCCUUACUCAUAAAAAUCUCAUCUCCUGAAUCCCUCUCCAGAAUUGAUUAACAAUGGAUACUAUAUUCAUUACAGACAGUAUAGGAGAUUUUCCGUGUUGUAGCCCAUUCCGAAAUCUAGGCAAAGCUUCUUGGCGCCUCGCUGCAGGAGUUAAAGAUCUGGGGAAAUUGCUACAUCUUACAUCCCUGCCUAGGGGAUGCUUCAACAUCAUUUCCUAAGAUAACCACAUGUCCAUAUACAUGUUUUCAUAUUGGGGAGGUCUAAACAGGACACAAACACCUCCAAGGGUAUGCCAGCUGACGCCUACAUUGAAAGCGUAAUACUGAGAAUGCUGGAAAUCUGAAAUAACAGCAAGCUCUGGAGAAACUCAACAGGCCUGGCAGAAUUUAUGGAGAGAAAAAGGCCGAAUUUUACUGUCAGCUAUACAUCAGUGACUAAUACUAUUUAUUUCAGAGGAAAGGUGACCGGACCUGAAGCCUUAACUUUGAUUUCUCUUCACAAAUGCUGCCCAGACCGGCUGAGCUUUUUCAGCAACUUCUGUUUUUUGUCUCUUAUUUACAGCAUCCACAGUUCUUUUGGUUUUUAACACUAUUUAUUUCUUGAGUUGUAAGGUUUUUGGAUUUAAGUUCUUGCCCACUGAGGUGAAAGCUAUAUCUAGCCCAUGUAGUAUGGUAGUAAAGGGAUGGUGCACUGACUGUGGGGCUGCCUUAUGGAUGUGUGGUUAAACAUUAAACAUUCAGUAGGCAUUCCACAGCAGUAACACUGAUCAUAUUGUAGUAUUCCUCAGAGAGUUUCAUGACUGAUUCACUGAGAAGCAAUCUUGGCUGAGGUUUCAGAAUAAAGCAACAUGUUGCCUUCGGCUGUAUUGGAAAGCUGCUGGUAAUGGAACUGUUGAAAGCAUUCACACCUUUUCUGGAUCCAUCUUUUAUUCCUGUACUUAUCUCAUUGCUACACUUUUUGCGCUUUACAAAAGCAUUUCCUUUGUCAUUUAAAACAAUGCAGUCUCUGUCUCUGCAACUUCUAUCUCUUGUUUAGAACAGUUAAAGUAUUUUGUUAGAAUUCUGCAGACUAUGAAAAUACUGAGGAAGGCUAAGCUUUAAGUUUGAGAGUAGUCAAGGGGAAAGU
This is a long non-coding RNA of Stegostoma tigrinum, 2244 nucleotides long. RefSeq lists it as uncharacterized. The record is from RefSeq and is a predicted model, not a curated record. The transcript has 6 exons. NCBI's taxonomy places the organism in Eukaryota, Metazoa, Chordata, Chondrichthyes, Orectolobiformes, Stegostomatidae.